This is an RNA transcript of Prunus dulcis (almond), 954 nucleotides long. It is a transcript of the gene named probable sulfate transporter 4.2, with no coding region annotated. Lineage: Eukaryota; Viridiplantae; Streptophyta; Magnoliopsida; Rosales; Rosaceae. The record is from RefSeq and is a predicted model, not a curated record. The transcript has 8 exons.
GGUUUAUAUGGCAGUAUGGAGCUUAUAAUUGUAUACAUUCAGGGAAAAACAAGGAAGUACUUGCGAUAUGUGAGAGCAGCAGGUCCCCUCACAGCUGUUCUUUCGGGCACAACUUUUGUAAAAAUAUUUAAUCCAUCUUCCAUAUCUUUGGUAGGAGAUAUACCUCAGGGCCUACCAAGCUUUUCUAUUCCUAGAGCUUUUGGAUAUGCUACAUCUUUGAUCCCCACCGCACUUCUCAUUACUGGUGUAGCUAUUUUGGAAUCUGUGGGCAUUGCAAAAGCAUUAGCAGCAAAGAAUGGGUAUGAGCUGGACUCAAAUCAAGAGUUGUUCGGUCUUGGUGUGGCCAAUAUUUUUGGUUCAUUUUUUUCAGCAUAUCCAACAACAGGUUCUUUUUCUAGGUCAGCUGUGAAUCAUGAAAGUGGAGCUAAAUCUGGCUUAUCUGGACUUGUUAUGGGAGUCUUGAUGGGCUGCGCUCUCCUAUUUAUGACACCACUGUUUGAAUAUAUACCGCAGGUCUCAAAUUGUCUCCUAGGAUGGUUGAGGCUUUGAUUUGCUCUCAAAAUUGGAUAAGGUCCGAAGAUAUAUCUUCAUUGCAAUAUGUGCCAAGCAUUGAAGAGAUGGAGUUCUAUGAAUCAAUUGAAAUGGAAAUGGGGAGUAAACCAUCCACUACAAAUUUGAAUAAGACUCUCCCUUCUUAGUGUGAUGAAGAUAUGUUGGAAGGUUGCUUUGUUAAGGUUUUGGAAGAAUGGAUGAAGCAGAUUUUUUGCAAGGAUGCUAUCUUUAUGUGUAUUUUUGUGAUGGGUUGUAAUCUUUAAUUUCAUAAGUUUAAUUUGGAUUGCUUGCUUUAUUUGUGUAUUAUUUUUUUGUCAUGGUUUGUAAGAGAUUAUAUUUCCUUUCCUUGCAUGGUUGGUUGAAUGUGUGAACGUGAUAUUCAUUUAGUUGUUUAGAAACUUA